This 74-nucleotide transfer RNA is filed under the name Nitrososphaerota archaeon. RNAcentral describes it as "Thaumarchaeota archaeon tRNA-Ile". It matches the Rfam family "tRNA". Rfam says of the family: Transfer RNA (tRNA) molecules are approximately 80 nucleotides in length. Their secondary structure includes four short double-helical elements and three loops (D, anti-codon, and T loops). The record is from RNAcentral. Lineage: Archaea; Thermoproteati; Nitrososphaerota.
GGGGGCGUGGCCCAGCAAUCCCGGCUUUGGGGCUGAUGACCCGGAGACCCCCGGUUCAAAUCCGGGCGCCCCCA